Molecule: ribosomal RNA, 497 nt
Filed under: uncultured bacterium
Lineage: Bacteria
Description: partial 16S ribosomal RNA
Rfam family: Bacterial small subunit ribosomal RNA
Source: RNAcentral
GAUGAACGCUGGCGGCGUGCCUAAUACAUGCAAGUCGAGCGAACGGACGAGAAGCUUGCUUCUCUGAUGUUAGCGGCGGACGGGUGAGUAACACGUGGAUAACCUACCUAUAAGACUGGGAUAACUUCGGGAAACCGGAGCUAAUACCGGAUGAUAUUUUGAACCGCAUGGUUCAAAAGUGAAAGACGGUCUUGCUGUCACUUAUAGAUGGAUCCGCGCUGCAUUAGCUAGUUGGUAAGGUAACGGCUUACCAAGGCAACGAUGCAUAGCCGACCUGAGAGGGUGAUCGGCCACACUGGAACUGAGACACGGUCCAGACUCCUACGGGAGGCAGCAGUAGGGAAUCUUCCGCAAUGGGCGAAAGCCUGACGGAGCAACGCCGCGUGAGUGAUGAAGGUCUUCGGAUCGUAAAACUCUGUUAUUAGGGAAGAACAUAUGUGCAAGUAACUGUGCACAUCUUGGCGGUACCUAAUCAGAAAGCCACGGCUAACUACGUG